ACAUAUUCGACAAUACAUACAAAAAGUUCAAUCCCAUAAGAUUACAUUCUUUGAUCCAAAAUCAAGGUCUAGACAGCAAAUAUGGCCCCCGUUUGCAAAGUUGGUUUCUUCACCGUCCUCCUUGUGUGUGGUAUUUUCCUAUUGGGAAGCAAUAUGGAGCUUGGAAAUGCUCAGAGUUGCACCCGGGAAUGCAAUCCUAAUGCAGCCUAUAUGAUCUGCCCACCUAAUGACAGGACUGAACCCGAUUGUAUUAAUUGUUGUCGAGCUACAAACAACGGCUGUCAACUCUUUGAUUCCAAUGAUUCGCCACUUUGCACUUAGACUAGGUCUUUUGCGAGGUCGUAUCAUCUCAAAUGUUUAAAUAAUGUAAUCUCAACGAUAAUAAUAGAGAUGUCUUAAUCAUCUAUGUAGGUGGAAUAAGAUUGUAAGACUCUUUUGAAUAACUAUGCAUGGGGUGAGACUACUAGUAUAGUCUAUUGCCUUCAUUGUAAUCAAACCUCACCAUUGUAGUGUGGUUUUGUUGUUGUUAAAUGUGAACUAUUUGGGUUGUUAUUACGUCUGUGAACUAUUCUGUUUGAAUACGAGGAAGAUUUAAUUUGGCAA
This is a long non-coding RNA of Ipomoea triloba (trilobed morning glory), 603 nucleotides long. RefSeq lists it as uncharacterized. The record is from RefSeq and is a predicted model, not a curated record. The transcript is spliced from 2 exons. NCBI's taxonomy places the organism in Eukaryota, Viridiplantae, Streptophyta, Magnoliopsida, Solanales, Convolvulaceae.